This is a long non-coding RNA of Habropoda laboriosa, 773 nucleotides long. RefSeq lists it as uncharacterized. The transcript has 3 exons. NCBI's taxonomy places the organism in Eukaryota, Metazoa, Arthropoda, Insecta, Hymenoptera, Apidae. The record is from RefSeq and is a predicted model, not a curated record.
CGAAAGGAUCCGGGCGGUUUAUAUCGUUUCAUUGAUUUUACAACCGGGUACCGUGAAAUUGCUCGCUGCUGGUAGUGUAAACUUUACGGUGAUAGAUCAUCCAGAGGAUACUGUCGACAAAAGGUUGGAGAUUUCUCCUUAAAAAAUCAGAAGAGUUUUCCACAUGCUCUACUUCGAAGAUAUUCGCGAGAUCGACGGGGCGAAACAGACGGCGAACAAAGGGGAGGACGAAACGAAGGAGUCGUGAUGUAAACGAAGCGCUGUCACGGGAGAAAUCAAUCGUCGAUAGCAGAAGUAGCUGCUAGGAUCUCUGGAGUCGGGGAACACGUCUCGAGGUGCAUUGUAUGCGAGGAAUGGGAACGGGACCGUGUAUAAACGGGACGCGCCUUUAUUUCUCGGAAAUUCGAAAUAUAUUGCGGCGGUGAGGAACGAUCCCGUGAGUCGAUGAAGCGAGCACGAGGACAUUCUUCGAUAUUCCUUUAACUGGAGCGUCGUCGCUGAGCGUGUGCAGGGGAAAUAGGCACAGCAAUUACAACAGAAGGCAACACAAGCCAGCGGUACGAGGAUAAACAGAAGAGAAAAGAAGGAAUUCGUAAUAAAAAGGUAAAAACGUGACCAGGUGAAACAGGGCGCAGCAUGAGGCGAGCUUAUGGGGCCAGAGUGAGUUGAACGCAACACCAUAGGAUAGCAGGGACGGGUAGAACAUGGUGCUAGAGAAGAAGAGGAGAGGACGAUGGUGGCGCAUGCUCCUCCUCGUUGUGCACGCAUCGUAG